RNAcentral lists this ribosomal RNA (1133 nucleotides) under Klebsiella pneumoniae. Its description in RNAcentral is "bacterial SSU rRNA". It matches the Rfam family "Bacterial small subunit ribosomal RNA", at positions 1 to 1125 of the family's 1533-position model. The record is from RNAcentral. Lineage: Bacteria; Pseudomonadati; Pseudomonadota; Gammaproteobacteria; Enterobacterales; Enterobacteriaceae.
AAAUUGAAGAGUUUGAUCAUGGCUCAGAUUGAACGCUGGCGGCAGGCCUAACACAUGCAAGUCGAGCGGUAGCACAGAGAGCUUGCUCUCGGGUGACGAGCGGCGGACGGGUGAGUAAUGUCUGGGAAACUGCCUGAUGGAGGGGGAUAACUACUGGAAACGGUAGCUAAUACCGCAUAACGUCGCAAGACCAAAGUGGGGGACCUUCGGGCCUCAUGCCAUCAGAUGUGCCCAGAUGGGAUUAGCUAGUAGGUGGGGUAACGGCUCACCUAGGCGACGAUCCCUAGCUGGUCUGAGAGGAUGACCAGCCACACUGGAACUGAGACACGGUCCAGACUCCUACGGGAGGCAGCAGUGGGGAAUAUUGCACAAUGGGCGCAAGCCUGAUGCAGCCAUGCCGCGUGUGUGAAGAAGGCCUUCGGGUUGUAAAGCACUUUCAGCGGGGAGGAAGGCGAUAAGGUUAAUAACCUUGGCGAUUGACGUUACCCGCAGAAGAAGCACCGGCUAACUCCGUGCCAGCAGCCGCGGUAAUACGGAGGGUGCAAGCGUUAAUCGGAAUUACUGGGCGUAAAGCGCACGCAGGCGGUCUGUCAAGUCGGAUGUGAAAUCCCCGGGCUCAACCUGGGAACUGCAUUCGAAACUGGCAGGCUAGAGUCUUGUAGAGGGGGGUAGAAUUCCAGGUGUAGCGGUGAAAUGCGUAGAGAUCUGGAGGAAUACCGGUGGCGAAGGCGGCCCCCUGGACAAAGACUGACGCUCAGGUGCGAAAGCGUGGGGAGCAAACAGGAUUAGAUACCCUGGUAGUCCACGCCGUAAACGAUGUCGAUUUGGAGGUUGUGCCCUUGAGGCGUGGCUUCCGGAGCUAACGCGUUAAAUCGACCGCCUGGGGAGUACGGCCGCAAGGUUAAAACUCAAAUGAAUUGACGGGGGCCCGCACAAGCGGUGGAGCAUGUGGUUUAAUUCGAUGCAACGCGAAGAACCUUACCUGGUCUUGACAUCCACAGAACUUUCCAGAGAUGGAUUGGUGCCUUCGGGAACUGUGAGACAGGUGCUGCAUGGCUGUCGUCAGCUCGUGUUGUGAAAUGUUGGGUUAAGUCCCGCAACGAGCGCAACCCUUAUCCUUUGUUGCCAGCGGU